GUAACAGUCAAGAAUGGGCGCGGUUUGAACACAAAUCAGCGUGUCAUGCGCAGAAACGUAAGAAAGUGUGCAGUUUUGGCGAGAUUUUAGCGGGUUUUUAAAAUUUAUCAGGUCUCACAGGAAGCUGAAUUUGGAUUGGAAUGACGAGGAAUUAUUUCACUCUGGCGUGCCUAAUCGUACAUGACUUUGAGGAGACGACGUGCGCUACCAUCCCAGCACGUCGUAUUUGAAUAUGGACAAAAAAACAGAUCAGACAUUAGCAACUGCUAUUGAUCCUCAAAUAGGGGCCGAGCUGUCUGUUUUGAACGCCGCUGCCCGGUCGAUCCCAUCUGACCUACUGUUCACAAGGCUGGCGGUGGUCCAUCCAUCUGAUGAGAACUUCCCUCCUGUCCAGAUCAACCUGCCACCUGCCCAUCAAUCAGUUCCCAACAGCUACAGCUACAUUCAUUUUGAGAUUUGACAAUUAUACAAGUUGGACAACAUCACUCAUUUCUAUCCCAGCAUCAAUGAGCUACAAUCUCCGCUUAUGAGCCACCUUUAAACCCCUCAGCAGACACGCAGCCUAAUGUCAUCUUGGCUGAUGUCGAGACAACAACAUUUACCAACACGUCAGCCUGGCAUCCAAAAGCAUUCGCAAUGUUUCAGAAACCGCGUGACCAAAUUGCUGCUAAAUUGCAGCCUUCACAAGCGCUAUUGCAUUGUGUGUCGCCGUCUAGGCCUGUCUGUUAGAUGAAGAAGACUUUAUGAGGCCGAAACGGAUGAGGAAAGGGACGAGAACAGUCAGUCAUGUGGGAUCGGAGAUGCGGUGAGAACAACGAGAGGGGGACAGACUUGAUGGGAUUUCCGAAAUCCAUGUGGGCCAUGAUGAAUGUCUGAAAUUGGUUUGUCUGGAGCUUGAUAAGUCAUUUGUUUUCAUUAGCCUGAUAGUAGCCUAAGUCCAUAGUGGUAGACUGAUUGGUGUGUGGUUGAGGGAGCUUGGAUGGAGAUGCGGCCUCUCUCCUGUCCUACUCUUCAU
This is a long non-coding RNA of Cyprinus carpio carpio, 1015 nucleotides long. NCBI's taxonomy places the organism in Eukaryota, Metazoa, Chordata, Actinopteri, Cypriniformes, Cyprinidae. The record is from Ensembl.